ACAUUUUCAGGGCCUGGGUGGCCUAUGCUUUUCUGAUUUUUUCCAAGCCCUAGCCCUGCCCCCAGCCCAUGGCGUUCGGGCUUUGUUGGUGCCGGUCGGGCCACUUGAGGUCGGGCUGAAAUGGACAUUUCCAAUAUUUUUUUCUCCGUUUUUUGCUUAUGCAUCUCAUCCCAGAUCAACAUGUACCGAUGUACAUCAUCGAGAGAGGGAGAGACAGAGAGAUAUGAAGUACAAAAUAUUAACAUUAAAAUGUAUGAGCCUGGACAGGAUUGAAAUAGAUAGGCUGGGCGGGAUUUGUAAGGCUUUAAUUGGGCUGGGCUGGGCUUUGGGCCGGGUCAAGGUUUUGAACCCUCCACCCUAGCCCUGCCUCAUGCCCAACGGGCUGGGCUUGGUGGGCGCUCAUGGGCUUUUGGCUCCGAGCCAAAUGAUGACCCCUAACUCAACUUUAGCUUAAUGGUAAUGAUAGGUAACCCACAUGCGCACCACUGGAUCUCACGGACAGCUGCUAUAGCCCAUUAAACAUUAAAUUAUUAAGCGUGUGUCCCGCGUGUCAAACGCGACAGGUGCCAAAUCUAACUCGAGUGUAUACGUACUUCGGUGUAUACCAGAAUUUUUGCACCUACCAUGUGGGGAAGUAAUUUAUGAGCAGUUCAGCCAACCAAUAUGUGAUUAUGAUGAAGAUGACAACAUGGUAAGAGAAACAGAAUUGGACCUCCAAAAGAAUUACUACGGGAGCCACAGUCAUCGGUGCAUUUAGGAGUUCAUCAACUCCGAAAGCAGUGGAGGCUUUAAUCUGCUUGUUUCUAGUGGCUUUCUCCAGGUACCUCACUCAGAAUGCUAUACCACCUGGGGUACCGAUCCAACUCUUAAAUCCUGUACUAGGAACACAGCGUUAGAGGGAUAAACUGUACAGGACGGUUUAUGCCUCUCCGAUGCCUGAGUAAGAUACUAACAUAUAAAUGAAUCGAGUAAUAGUAAAUAAAUGAGUUAUUACCCCAGAAAGGGUGGUUGGGCUGAUUCCUUAUACGAGAGUAUGGGAAAGGAGUAUCCAUUCUCCUCGAUGUGGGACGUAGGUUCUCUUUGUAGUUCUGCUUUCUGAUGUCUUCUUGGAUGAAAUGUGUUGGCCAAGUCUGAGGCCCUGGGUGUCCGUGAUGUCGUUCCCGAUGAGCACCGUCAUGGUGGGUUGUGAACCUGGCUCAUGGCAUGGUACAUGGGCCUACGGGCCUCAGUUUGUAGUGCCAAACCUAGUGAGGUGUUCACUAGUAUGUACACUGCUUACCUAGUUGAUGGGUGAUAAUAGUCAUUUUAGAAGAUGAGCCUACAAUUGAAAACACCGAGUCCAUGAAAAAGUUGAAUAAGCACUGCUUCUAGCAGAAACACAUGUCCACCUCCCAAGGCAAAGGGCAUUUCUUAUUUGGUGGCUGAAGCUUUAGCCGUCCUUCAUGACUCCUCUUGUGACCUAAUUGCAAGAUCAUCAAAGUCUCCUACGGCGGCUGAAGCUUUAGCCGUCUUUGAGGGUGUUUCUCUGGCUUCAUCUUUAUAGUUGGACUCUCUGGGGCUGGAAUCUGAUUCUCUUCAUGUCAUAAAAGCCAUCACUUGCCGAAAGUUUCCUGUGGAUUGGUCAGCUGCUCCCAUCAUUCAGUAAAUUAUGCUCUUCUUACUCCCUAACAUUAGCUGGACUUGGUCCGCGCUCCUCUUUAUCCAAAAUUUUGUUGUACGAUACGGCCCUGGACGGCCUUAAUUGUUUUGUUUGCUUUCUAUGUUCUUGGAGUGACACGUUGUACUCCUUGAAUCUUUGUUCUUUUUAAUAUUAAGUUCUUUUAACAACAACCAAAAAAAAAAAAAGCAAUUGGCAACGAGAAGUCUGGUGGUAUUAUCAUUGACGUGUGAUCUCUGUGAUGCCUAAUGCACCAAAUUCUUGAUUGGCCAAAAAAAAUAUAUAUAUCCAUAUUCUCGAAAAAAAUUUAGUAGUUUUGCUGCUCUGCUCUUGAGUUCGUACUUUGUGAUGUGUCUGAUACUCUUAAUUAUUGAAUUAUGUUUUGUAGGUACUUUAAGACUAACUUCUUUUAAUCUUUGAUACUAGAUAUUUUUAUUUUUUGAAGUUGUUUGAGCUUCGUAAUAAGCCAUGAGGCAUUAAGGUUUAGAUGGUCUAUGAUUGUGUGGAAUGUUGGGGCUGUUGUAGGUUGUUUUCUACUCUUGUUGCACACAUGAAUUUUAUUGUGUGGAUGUAGAUUAUGGAAGAUCCAGGAUUGAACCGAAAUCUUGCUCCAAAACCGAUUUGGCUGUACUGAACCGAAAUCGAUCAGGUUUCGGUUUGGUCCAGUUUCAAAGUUGAGAAAUAUCAAUUCUGGCUUGUACCGAAAUGAAUGAUAUUUUCGGUUUCGGGUUUGGUUUCAGCUCCAUCUUGGCCUGUGCCCAACCCGAAAUCUUAGUUUGAACAUCCCAAGCUCAUCUACAAUAACUACUCUCUAAUUCCAGUUGAGAAGUUGGUGGAAGCUGGAGUAGUAUCUGGAAGCGAUACAUUUUGGAGUAUUUGUGCCUGAUGAAGAAUGGCAGAACAUGCUCUUAAGUUUAGAACAUUUUAUUUUUGUUAUUUUUAGUAAAUUUGGCACAUAUGUACUUUGUAAUUAUCUAACUGCAACUUUCUGAUGGUUCUCUUUUUUGGACAAAGCUAGUUUCUGAUGUUAAUUUCGUAUGUUUAGAGUUUAUUUAUAUAAAUAGGGAGAAUAUCGUAAAUGAUUAUUAUAUUUUUACUUGUUCAA
This is a long non-coding RNA of Rosa rugosa (rugosa rose), 2762 nucleotides long. RefSeq lists it as uncharacterized. The record is from RefSeq and is a predicted model, not a curated record. The transcript is spliced from 2 exons. Lineage: Eukaryota; Viridiplantae; Streptophyta; Magnoliopsida; Rosales; Rosaceae.